GUGGGGAAUAUUGGACAAUGGGCGAAAGCCUGAUCCAGCAAUGCCGCGUGAGUGAUGAAGGCCUUAGGGUUGUAAAGCUCUUUUACCAGGGAUGAUAAUGACAGUACCUGGAGAAUAAGCUCCGGCUAACUCCGUGGCAGCAGCCGCGGUAAUACGGAGGGAGCUAGCGUUGUUCGGAAUUACUGGGCGUAAAGCGCACGUAGGCGGUUACUCAAGUCAGAGGUGAAAGCCCGGGGCUCAACCCCGGAACUGCCUUUGAAACUAGGUAACUGGAAUCUUGGAGAGGUCAGUGGAAUUCCGAGUGUAGAGGUGAAAUUCGUAGAUAUUCGGAAGAACACCAGUGGCGAAGGCGACUGACUGGACAAGUAUUGACGCUGAGGUGCGAAAGCGUGGGGAGCAAACAGGAUUAGAAACCCCAGUAGUCC
RNAcentral lists this ribosomal RNA (425 nucleotides) under uncultured bacterium. RNAcentral describes it as "partial 16S ribosomal RNA". It matches the Rfam family "Bacterial small subunit ribosomal RNA", at positions 354 to 796 of the family's 1533-position model. The record is from RNAcentral.